GACGAACGCUGGCGGCGUGCUUAACACAUGCAAGUCGAGCGGAAAGGCCCCUUCGGGGGUACUCGAGCGGCGAACGGGUGAGUAACACGUGAGCAACCUGCCCCUGACUCUGGGAUAAGC
This 120-nucleotide ribosomal RNA is filed under the name uncultured bacterium. RNAcentral describes it as "partial 16S ribosomal RNA". It matches the Rfam family "Bacterial small subunit ribosomal RNA", at positions 28 to 148 of the family's 1533-position model. The record is from RNAcentral.